Molecule: ribosomal RNA, 494 nt
Filed under: uncultured bacterium
Lineage: Bacteria
Description: partial 16S ribosomal RNA
Rfam family: Bacterial small subunit ribosomal RNA
Source: RNAcentral
GACGAACGCUGGCGGCGUGCUUAACACAUGCAAGUCGAACGGUGAAGCGCCUUCCUUUUUGGUGGGUGUGGAUGAGUGGCGAACGGGUGAGUAACAAGUGAGUAACCUGCCCCCUUCUUCUGGAUAACCGCAUGAAAUUGUGACUAAUACGGGAUAUUCUGGGUCUGUCGCCUGAUGGGUCUGGGAAAGAUAUGGUUUAGGACGGGGAUGGGCUCGGGGCUUAUCAGCUUGUGGGGGGGGGGAUGGCCUACCAAGGCGGGGACGGGUAGCCGGCCUGAGAGGGUGGACGGUCACACUGUGACUGAGACACCGGCCAGACUCGUACGGGAGGCAGCAGUGGGGAAUAGUGCACAAUGGGAGCAAGACUGAUGCAGCGACGCCGCGUGAGGGAUGGAGGCCGUCGGGUUGUGAACCUCCUUCGCCAGUGAAGCGGGCCUGCCUCGUAUGUGGGUGGGUUGACGGUAGCUGGAGAAGAAGCGCCGGCUAACUACGUG